GACGAACGCUGGCGGCAGGCCUAACACAUGCAAGUCGAGCGAGACCUUCGGGUCUAGCGGCGGACGGGUGAGUAACGCGUGGGAACGUGCCCUUUUCUGCGGAAUAGCCUCGGGAAACUGAGCGUAAUACCGCAUACGCCCUUUGGGGGAAAGAUUUAUCGGAAAAGGAUCGGCCCGCGUUGGAUUAGGUAGUUGGUGGGGUAAUGGCCUACCAAGCCUACGAUCCAUAGCUGGUUUGAGAGGAUGAUCAGCCACACUGGGACUGAGACACGGCCCAGACUCCUACGGGAGGCAGCAGUGGGGAAUCUUAGACAAUGGGGGCAACCCUGAUCUAGCCAUGCCGCGUGAGUGAUGAAGGCCUUAGGAUUGUAAAGCUCUUUCAGCUGGGAAGAUAAUGACGGUACCAGCAGAAGAAGCCCCGGCUAACUCCGUG
RNAcentral lists this ribosomal RNA (433 nucleotides) under uncultured bacterium. RNAcentral's name for it is "partial 16S ribosomal RNA". It matches the Rfam family "Bacterial small subunit ribosomal RNA", at positions 28 to 507 of the family's 1533-position model. The record is from RNAcentral.